AGCGAACGCUGGCGGCAGGCUUAACACAUGCAAGUCGAGCGGGCCUUUCGGGGUCAGCGGCGGACGGGUGAGUAACGCGUGGGAACGUGCCCUCUGGUUCGGAAUAACUCAGGGAAACUUGAGCUAAUACCGGAUACGCCCUUUUGGGGAAAGGCUUGCUGCCGGAGGAUCGGCCCGCGUCUGAUUAGCUAGUUGGUGAGGUAACGGCUCACCAAGGCGACGAUCAGUAGCUGGUCUGAGAGGAUGAUCAGCCACACUGGGACUGAGACACGGCCCAGACUCCUACGGGAGGAAGAAGUGGGGAAUAUUGGACAAUGGGCGCAAGCCUGAUCCAGCCAUGCCGCGUGAGUGAUGAAGGCCUUAGGGUUGUAAAGCUCUUUUAUCCGGGACGAUAAUGACGGUACCGGAGGAAUAAGCCCCGGCUAACUUCGUG
RNAcentral lists this ribosomal RNA (433 nucleotides) under uncultured bacterium. Its description in RNAcentral is "partial 16S ribosomal RNA". It matches the Rfam family "Bacterial small subunit ribosomal RNA", at positions 29 to 507 of the family's 1533-position model. The record is from RNAcentral.